AGUGAACGCUGGCGGUAGGCCUAACACAUGCAAGUCGAACGGCAGCACAGUAAGAGCUUGCUCUUACGGGUGGCGAGUGGCGGACGGGUUAGGAAUACAUCGGAAUCUACUUUUUCGUGGGGGAUAACGUAGGGAAACUUACGCUAAUACCUCAUACGACCUACGGGUGAAAGCAGGGGAUCUUCGGACCUUGCGCGAUUGAAUGAGCCGAUGUCGGAUUAGCGAGUUGGGGGGGUAAAGGCCCACCAAGGCGACGAUCCGUAGCUGGUCUGAGAGGAUGAUCAGCCACACUGGAACUGAGACACGGUCCAGACUCCUACGGGAGGCAGCAGUGGGGAAUAUUGGACAAUGGGCGCAAGCCUGAUCCAGCCAUACCGCGUGGGUGAAGAAGGCCUUCGGGUUGUAAAGCCCUUUUGUUGGGAAAGAAAAGCAGCAGGUUAAUACCCCGCUGUUCUGACGGUACCCAAAGAAUAAGCACCGGCUAACUUCGUG
RNAcentral lists this ribosomal RNA (492 nucleotides) under uncultured bacterium. RNAcentral describes it as "partial 16S ribosomal RNA". It matches the Rfam family "Bacterial small subunit ribosomal RNA", at positions 29 to 507 of the family's 1533-position model. The record is from RNAcentral.